This is a non-coding RNA of Lactuca sativa (garden lettuce), 344 nucleotides long. The record is from RefSeq and is a predicted model, not a curated record. Lineage: Eukaryota; Viridiplantae; Streptophyta; Magnoliopsida; Asterales; Asteraceae.
AGAGUCUUUCUCUCCUUAUCCCCCGAGCAUUUCGGUCCCUCGUGAUUCGACUUCUCUUUCUGUAGUUUUAGUAUAGUAAGGUGAGCGCUGAAGCGCUGCACGAAUCUUUCUUAGAAAGAUUCAGCGACGAAGUUCUGCCCCUACAGAGCCCGACUCCUAGCUAAAAUCCCCUUGUAAGUUUCGUCGAAGGAAAUUAUUUUAAAGUAAACGAAGCGCUGUCCGAGUACCGAGUCACCACCUUCUCAAGUGUUGAUAUGAAGUGACACUACACUGAGAGAUUUAAAGAGAUGUAGAUCACUAGUGUAAAUAAUUGUAAGUUCUGUUUAUGCUUAUGUUUCUGUAUU